AACGCACAUUGCGCCCGUUAGUAUUCUAGCGGGCAGGCUUGUUCGAGCGUCAUUUCAACCCUCAAGUUUUAUUUAAAAGCUUGGUCUUGAGAUGUAGCUUUCCAUUUAGGAGCUACUUCUUUAAAAGGAAUGACGAGACUUGUUUCUAACCUAGUGAAGUAAAAUAACAAAUCUAUCGCUGUGGAAAGAUCAAGACCUUUGUCAAAAUAAAAUCAUUUAUUUUUAUAAGUUGACCUCGAAUCAAGUCGGAUUACCCGCUGAACUUAA
RNAcentral lists this unclassified non-coding RNA (267 nucleotides) under uncultured fungus. Its description in RNAcentral is "sequence contains ITS2". The record is from RNAcentral. Lineage: Eukaryota; Fungi.